RNAcentral lists this small RNA (111 nucleotides) under Paenisporosarcina sp. HGH0030. RNAcentral's name for it is "Bacillaceae-1 RNA". It matches the Rfam family "Bacillaceae-1 RNA". The record is from Rfam by way of RNAcentral. Lineage: Bacteria; Bacillati; Bacillota; Bacilli; Caryophanales; Caryophanaceae.
AGUUUCGGAAGGAAGGCUAAGAAUGCCGCGUCCUGCUCCUGCGAUUACUCGUCGCAAAAUGCAGGAAAAAGUUAUUUUGCGGCAACGCCUUCAUGACCUACAUCCUGUAGG